UGAAGCUGCCAGCCUGAUCUUA
RNAcentral lists this microRNA (22 nucleotides) under Glycine max (soybean). RNAcentral's name for it is "gma-miR167k". Its record names the gene gma-miR167k. Lineage: Eukaryota; Viridiplantae; Streptophyta; Magnoliopsida; Fabales; Fabaceae. The record is from miRBase by way of RNAcentral.